GAUGAACGCUGGCGGCGUGCCUAAUACAUGCAAGUCGAACGAACAGAUACGGAAGUUUCCCCUCUGACGUUUGCGGCGCAAGGGUGAGUAACACGUGGAUAACAUCCCUCUAAGACUUGGGUACAUCCGGCGGAAACGAGCGCUUACACGCAAAAAACUCCAACUUCAUAGUUAACUAGUGAAAGACGGUUUUUCUGUCACAAGUAGAUGGCUCGGCGCCGCAUUAGCUAGUUGGUGAGGUAACGGCUUACCAAGGCAACGCUGCGUAGCGGACCUGAGCGGGUGAUCGGCCACACGGGAACUGAGACACGGUCCAGACUCCUACGGGAGGAGGCAGUAGGGAAUCUUCGGCAUGGGGCGAAAGCCGGACGGAGAAACGCCGCGUGAGGGAGGAAGGCCUUGGGUUCUUAAAACUUUGUUAUUAGGGAAGACGAAUUGUGUAUGAAACAAGGCACGUCGUGACGGUACCUAAUCAGAAAGCCACGGCUAACUACGUG
Molecule: ribosomal RNA, 497 nt
Filed under: uncultured bacterium
Lineage: Bacteria
Description: partial 16S ribosomal RNA
Rfam family: Bacterial small subunit ribosomal RNA
Source: RNAcentral